GUAGGGCUAUCGAGAUAGUCCCCAGGAUAAAGAUAGGGGACAGGUUCCUCAUCUUCUUCUGUUCUUCUUUCUUCGCUAGGUGGGAGGUCAGGGCUGUCUGCCCCGGUUCGUACCUCACUGGAAUCACUUGCUUCCCUCUCUAGGUCUGGUCUAGGAACCUUUUUUUACUCGGGAUGCAUGGAUCCAGGUAUGCUGAAAAGGCAUUCUUCAAAUCAAUUACAGAGAACGCAGCAUCUGCAGGGAUUGCAGAAAUGAGUGAGUUUACAUCUGGAACAAUUGGUGCAAUUGGGACAAUUAGCUGAUUGAUCGCUCUGAGAUUCUGUACAAAUCUUAUACUGCCAUCAGCUUUGGCAACAGGGUUCACAGGAGUACAGUAUGGUGAUACAAUAUGUCUGAGAUACCCUGUUGUAAGAAUUGCUGUAUCAUGGGGCGGAGACCUUCUAUCUUUUCUGGUGAGAGGGGAUACUGCAUAAGUCAGAACACAAAACACUGGUUGUUGCACCGCUGUCCACUAAAAAGGGAAUUUUACUUCCAUUUAUAAUAAGUGGCAGCAGAGGUGAAUCUUUACUAUGACGGGAGAGUUGAAUAAAGGCUGGGAUGCCCUCCUCCGGGCCCCGUCAGUGCGCGGGGUCUUUGGAAUCUUUACUGACUGCGGGGUUGGUUCUGUCUGUCAAAGCGUCUGGAGUUCUGAUAGUUAUGAGUGAGUGGGGAAGUGAGUAAGCUUUCUGAGUUAAGCAAAGGUAAGCCAGCGUCAUCUGUCCAGCAGUCCUUAAACCUUUUCCAAAACGCAGUAACAGACUAUGAAGGUUUCUGUUUACAAGCUACAGCGACAGGCAAAAAAAGACUUCCUUCAUAUGUGUAUAGCUGCGUCCUUUGCAAGCUUUGCGCAAAUAAGAUAUACAGCCAUCGAGGGUAAUAGUGGGCUUGGGACAGUCCCAUUUGGUGUGAAAGGGUUACUGCUGCCAAGAGAUCUGUGUCUCCGAGCGCAGGAUACAUUGGAAUGCAAAGGGGGGAGGCGAGAGGGAUCUCUCUGCAGCCUCGCUUCUGUGCUGUUGGGAACUGACAUUUUUUCUUAAAUCUCCAUAUAGAAAAGGUAAUUACUGCCUUCCCGUAGGAAUGGGUCCUGUCCUGCUUUCUCUGUCCAUCCCGCUAAAUUAUCCACCCAUGGGUUAACUAAGUAAUACUCUGAGGUAGAGUUACGGGCAACAUACAUCUUGCAUGUCUCACCAGGGAGGGGCGGGGGAUAUGCAGUUUUUUUGUCAGACAGUAAUAUAAAUCAACAAUACAACUUUUAAAAGAAAAUUAUCUAAAAUAUACAACACUCUACUUACUAUACAUGCAUCAGCUAACCAGUUAAUUAGUCAUUGACAAUAUCACAAUAUUAUCUGUACAGUGAGAACAUGAAAUCUUUUGACGGGUACGCUUACCUUCGUACAAGAUGUCAGAAAAAUACAGCGUUUUAAACAGGAAGCAAGAAAAGUGUUUGAGUAAAGAUAUCUGGCAGACGAAAACUUACCAGCCGUCUGGACCAAAUAUAAGAACUUAUCUCACUACAAACAUACAAAAAUAUAUAGGCGAUCAAAUCGGGGUAUUCUCUACGUUACGUAUAGACCCCAGGUCUAUAUUUUUAAGUAUCCCAGAUACUGACGUCUUUGGAGAAUUGCGCUUGGACGCCUGGUCCUUUCUCAGACGUAUCUUUAAGUCCCAGACAUUAAAGAUUCUAUGGUAUCCCUGAUACCUGUUUUAUGCUUUUACAUAAAACUUCGUAAUAUUAAGUCCCGGACUUAAAUAUUACCUUGUCACGUGUUCCCGGAACACUGACACGGAUUCAGCUUCAGUGUAUGACCGCAAUCCUGUAUGGCAAAGACAGACAAUAAAUUCUCUAUUUUUACCAUUCAGGGACGAUCACUGAAUUCCGGACAUAGCCCCCAGCUGAAAGGAUAUGACCUUAUAUUCUUAACCCUCGAUGUGAUGGCCUCUUAGACGUCUGGAGUGUGAACUUUUAGCCACAAGGCACACUAUGUAUCUUUUAUAUAUCAAUUCCGGGACUCUUUACAUCAUAGUAUGCUGCCUCUAUUGGAAAACUACACAUCCCAUGGAUCCUUUCACCAGGAUUACAUCACUUCCGGGUUUGACACUUUCCUGCCUGAAUAUAGGCAAUUGGACUCCAGUGGACUACAUUUCCCACAUGCCCCGGGACAGGAUGUUGCAUCGAGGAUGUCUGACCAUUUUAUAGUACACAGAAACUCCAAUUUCCAGAAUGCCUGAGACCCAUAAUUUCCGGCCAACGUGAACGUUUUUAUUAUAGUUUUACCUAUUCAGUGUCUCCACAGGAUUGCAAUAGAUGUUUAUAAGAAUGUGAAUGAGUAACACUGUGAUCUAUUUGCUGUGAAAAUUGCAAAGAGGAUAAAUACCACAUAAUAAUAACCAAUUCUAACCAUACUUGCCUACCUGACCCUCUCCAUGAGGAGAAAAUGCUCUGUU
Molecule: long non-coding RNA, 2484 nt
Organism: Pseudophryne corroboree (corroboree frog)
Lineage: Eukaryota; Metazoa; Chordata; Amphibia; Anura; Myobatrachidae
Exons: 3
Source: RefSeq, a predicted model, not a curated record